AACGAACGCUGGCGGCAGGCUUAACACAUGCAAGUCGAGCGCCCCGCAAGGGGAGCGGCAGACGGGUGAGUAACGCGUGGGAAUCUACCCAUCACUACGGAACAACUCCGGGAAACUGGAGCUAAUACCGUAUACGUCCUUCGGGAGAAAGAUUUAUCGGUGAUGGAUGAGCCCGCGUUGGAUUAGCUAGUUGGUGGGGUAAUGGCCCACCAAGGCGACGAUCCAUAGCUGGUCUGAGAGGAUGAUCAGCCACACUGGGACUGAGGCACGGCCCAGACUCCUACGGGAGGCAGCAGUGGGGAAUAUUGGACAAUGGGCGCAAGCCUGAUCCAGCCAUGCCGCGUGAGUGAUGAAGGCCCUAGGGUUGUAAAGCUCUUUCACCGGCGAAGAUAAUGACGGUAACCGGAGAAGAUGCCCCGGCUAACUUCGUGCCAGCCGCCGCCGUAA
RNAcentral lists this ribosomal RNA (447 nucleotides) under uncultured bacterium. RNAcentral describes it as "partial 16S ribosomal RNA". It matches the Rfam family "Bacterial small subunit ribosomal RNA", at positions 29 to 523 of the family's 1533-position model. The record is from RNAcentral.